RNAcentral lists this ribosomal RNA (187 nucleotides) under uncultured Glomus. RNAcentral describes it as "partial 18S ribosomal RNA". It matches the Rfam family "Eukaryotic small subunit ribosomal RNA", at positions 598 to 787 of the family's 1831-position model. Lineage: Eukaryota; Fungi; Glomeromycota; Glomeromycetes; Glomerales; Glomeraceae. The record is from RNAcentral.
CGUAUAUUAAAGUUGUUGCAGUUAAAAAGCUCGUAGUUGAAUUUCGGGGUCAGUAGGUUGGUCGUGCCUCUGGUAUGCACUGGCUUUACUGAUUCCUCCUUCUUGAAGAACUGUAAUGUCAUUAAUUUGGUGUUGCAGGGAAACAGGACUGUUACUUUGAAAAAAUUAGAGUGUUUAAAGCAGGCAA